AACGAACGCUGGCGGCAUGCCUAACACAUGCAAGUCGAACGAGACCUUCGGGUCUAGUGGCGCACGGGUGCGUAACGCGUGGGAAUCUGCCCUUGGGUUCGGAAUAACAGUUGGAAACGACUGCUAAUACCGGAUGAUGACGUAAGUCCAAAGAUUUAUCGCCCAAGGAUGAGCCCGCGUAGGAUUAGCUAGUUGGUGAGGUAAAGGCUCACCAAGGCGACGAUCCUUAGCUGGUCUGAGAGGAUGAUCAGCCACACUGGGACUGAGACACGGCCCAGACUCCUACGGGAGGCAGCAGUGGGGAAUAUUGGACAAUGGGCGAAAGCCUGAUCCAGCAAUGCCGCGUGAGUGAUGAAGGCCUUAGGGUUGUAAAGCUCUUUUACCCGGGAUGAUAAUGACAGUACCAGGAGAAUAAGCUCCGGCUAACUCCGUG
RNAcentral lists this ribosomal RNA (433 nucleotides) under uncultured bacterium. Its description in RNAcentral is "partial 16S ribosomal RNA". It matches the Rfam family "Bacterial small subunit ribosomal RNA", at positions 29 to 507 of the family's 1533-position model. The record is from RNAcentral.